AUUGAACGCUGGCGGCAUGCCUUACACAUGCAAGUCGAACGGCAGCGGACCUUCGGGUGCCGGCGAGUGGCGAACGGGUGAGUAAUAUAUCGGAACGUACCUUUCAGUGGGGGAUAACGUAGCGAAAGUUACGCUAAUACCGCAUAUUCUGUGAGCAGGAAAGCAGGGGAUCGCAAGACCUUGCGCUGAUUGAGCGGCCGAUAUCAGAUUAGCUAGUUGGUGAGGUAAAGGCUCACCAAGGCGACGAUCUGUAGCGGGUCUGAGAGGAUGAUCCGCCACACUGGAACUGAGACACGGUCCAGACUCCUACGGGAGGCAGCAGUGGGGAAUUUUGGACAAUGGGUGCAAGCCUGAUCCAGCCAUGCCGCGUGAGUGAAGAAGGCC
RNAcentral lists this ribosomal RNA (384 nucleotides) under uncultured bacterium. RNAcentral's name for it is "bacterial SSU rRNA". It matches the Rfam family "Bacterial small subunit ribosomal RNA", at positions 30 to 416 of the family's 1533-position model. The record is from RNAcentral.